Molecule: long non-coding RNA, 1165 nt
Organism: Oncorhynchus keta (chum salmon)
Lineage: Eukaryota; Metazoa; Chordata; Actinopteri; Salmoniformes; Salmonidae
Exons: 4
Source: RefSeq, a predicted model, not a curated record
GUAGAUUGACAGGCUAGUGAUUUAGCUGUUCGUUACUCAUCUUGUUGGCUGAUAGUAGAUUGACAGGCUAGUGAUUUAGCUGUUCGUUACUCAUCUUGUUGGCUGAUAGUAGAUUGACAGGCUAGUGAUUUAGCUGUUCGUUACUCAUCUUGUUGGCAACAGUGUGUACCUGUAGAGAGGUCAUACAGGGUAGUAACAGUGUGUACCUGUAGAGAGGUCAUACAGGGUGGUAACAGUGUGUACCUGUAGAGAGGUUAUACAGGGUGGUAACAGUGUGUGUACCUGUAGAGAGGUUAUACAGGGUGGUAACAGUGUGUACCUGUAGAGAGGUCAUACAGGGUGGUAACAGUGUGUACCUGUAGAGAGGUUAUACAGGGUGGUAACAGUGUGUACCUGUAGAGAGGUUAUACAGGGUGGUAACAGUGUGUGUACCUGUAGAGAGGUUAUACAGGGUGGUAACAGUGUGUACCUGUAGAGAGGUCAUACAGGGUGGUAACAGUGUGUACCUGUAGAGAGGUUAUACAGGGUGGUAACAGUGUGUGUACCUGUAGAGAGGUCAUACAGGGUGGUAACAGUGUGUACCUGUAGAGAGGUCAUACAGGGUGGUAACAGUGUGUACCUGUAGAGAGGUCAUACAGGGUGGUAACAGUGUGUACCUGUAGAGAGGUCAUACAGGGUGGUAACAGUGUGUACCUGUAGAGAGGUCAUACAGGGUGGUAACAGUGUGUACCUGUAGAGAGGUCAUACAGGGUGGUAACAGUGUGUACCUGUAGAGAGGUCAUACAGGGUGGUAACAGUGUGUACCUGUAGAGAGGUCAUACAGGGUGGUAACAGUGUGUACCUGUAGAGAGGUCAUACAGGGUGGUAACAGUGUGUGUACCUGUAGAGAGGUCAUACAGGGUGGUAACAGUGUGUACCUGUAGAGAGGUCAUACAGGGUGGUAACAGUGUGUACCUGUAGAGAGGUCAUACAGGGUGGUAACAGUGUGUACCUGUAGAGAGGUCAUACAGGGUGGUAACAGUGUGUACCUGUAGAGAGGUCAUACAGGGUGGUAACAGUGUGUACCUGUAGAGAGGUCAUACAGGGUGGUAACAGUGUGUACCUGUAGAGAGGUCAUACAGGGUGGUAACAGUGUGUGUACCUGUAGAGAGGUCAUACAGGGUGG